GUCUGGGUUCAAGAUUAGCCCCCGUAAUGUUGUCAGGUUUACGCCUUACAACGUGCGGGGGUUUUCU
This 67-nucleotide antisense RNA is filed under the name Pseudocitrobacter vendiensis. RNAcentral's name for it is "rdlD antitoxin". It matches the Rfam family "rdlD antitoxin". The record is from RNAcentral. Lineage: Bacteria; Pseudomonadati; Pseudomonadota; Gammaproteobacteria; Enterobacterales; Enterobacteriaceae.